This 203-nucleotide unclassified non-coding RNA is filed under the name soil metagenome. RNAcentral's name for it is "partial contains 5.8S ribosomal RNA, internal transcribed spacer 2, and large subunit ribosomal RNA". The record is from RNAcentral.
AACCAUAGAAACCUGCGGAGUACCUGCGGAAGGAUCAUUACCGAGUGCGGGUCCUCGUGGCCCAACCUCCCACCCGUGACUAUUGUACCUUGUUGCUUCGGCGGGCCCGUGCCCGCCGGAGACCCCAACAUGAACCCUGUUCUGAAAGCUUGCAGUCUGAGUGUGAUUCUUUGCAAUCAGUUAAAACUUUCAGCAACGGAUCU